UUAUGAGAUAUCGAAUAGCGAUACCAAUGUUCUAUGCUGCUGUCAUUUCAGUCUGCAUAGUCAUUAUCAAAAUUGGUGUUGCCAUAUCAUUACUACUUUGGUUAAUUCAACGAUCCACUUCCAAGUUCUUUGGUGUCGAGCUGAGCAUGUGGUUAUCUUACAUCUUGGUAUGUCCAUAGGAUACGGUCAUCCUGAUACUCGAUGCGUUGUACCAUGACCGUGACUGUGCCAAGUUCUUCGUGCUUGAGACCAUAGCCAGGGUGCAGUAUCUCGGUGAGCGUCUUGUCUUAUUCACAGAAUAUGUGGUUUUGACAUGGUAGUGUAUCUGCUGUUUUGUUGACUGAUUGACAUGGUAGUUUGCUGAAUUUUGUCGUCUUCACCUAUUUUGAACAGCAUACAGAAGCAGCAGGAUCUUCCUUCAUAUCCUUUAUUGUAGAUCACAUAUUCCUUUGCAUUAAAGAUGCUGGUAAGGAGUAGCAACCAAUCAACUUUGAGUAUGCUAUUUGUAGACAUCUAUACUGACUUCUUCAUUAAACUUUUAUUUGCGUCGAUAGAGUUUCAGCUUGAACUUCUAAAGCAGUCACUGUUCUUCUCAUGGAAUUUGUUUUGCUUGUCAAUCUAUUGAGCGUUGUAUGCUUGGCUGAUUACAUCAUCAUUCAAGCUUUCUUGUGAGAGAUUUUUUUUUGUAUUGUAGUCACCUACUGACAUGAUGACAACUGUUUUCUGGUGGUUUCCAGGUGGUGCUGAAGUCGGCUAGGAGGGGCAGCACCGCGACGAUGAGGAAGCCGUCGGGGACAAGGCCCAGGGCGGCAAAGCGAGCCCAAGUAAGCUGCUGCCGGCCACCUUCCAGAAAAUUACAGUACCUAUAAAAGUUCAGAGAUGAGCUUAUCUCCUCACACAUAUCCUACUGGGAGCUUGCCUAUUGGAUAAGUGCCUAAAUCUUUGCCACCAUUUGAGCACCCAAGCCAUCAAUUUCUAGAGAAAAAAGAAUUCCAGCAACAAAGGUUCAUUUCUAAACAACUUGUGGUACAAUAAGUUCAAGAAUAAAUGCAUUGAUGAGUGUAAGUAGUUCAGAAUCGAUUUGAGUGAGGUGCAGCUUCCUCUCAUAUUCUCUUGUCGUGGCAACUUUAUAACUGUUUGUUGAAGAAAAGUAGUUUACAACUAAAGUAGUGUAUAAAGUCAGUCAAGUUUAACUAUUAUGAUCUACUAUAAUCAUUGCUCUUUAACUUCCAGCUACUGGAAUCUUAAAAGUGAGGUUGCUUUCCAACUACAAUUGUAUAAUUUGUAAGUAAUUAUCAUGUCUGAGAAGGGUGAUCAAUCCCUCCUUUUGGAGACAUUUGGAUUUUUUCCACUUUGUUCAUGGGGCUUCUCAGAUUUGCCACUUUGGAGAAUUGAUUCGCAUAAAUGCCACUUAAGUCGUGGAGUCCUUGAUUAGUAUGCCAUUAGCUCCACUUUUAUUCAUUUUAAUUAAUUUUUUCACAUUAUCGGGCUAGUCAAAGACUAACUUACCCCUGUGGCUAUCUACACGUACACACAUCUGGCAUCGAAUCAGCACCUGAACCAUCAAAGCGGGCGCUGCAUGCUGAUAAUAUCGCGUGUGCCAUACCGUCAGUUGACUGGAUGCCAUGCUUCGGCGGUUCUGACGCCGCCGAUCCCCUGGAUGCCUCUUGCCACCGGCUGGACGUCAUGCGCUGCCGAUUGCCUGCAGGCCACGCGCCGUGGAUCGUUCGGUACAGCGGCGGCGGCAUAAACACCACAAAGUCUGCCCCAGGCAGUCGUCCAGAGAACUCUUGCCGGCCGACGGCAGCUCCUCCACGACCACCUCCCUCUGCGUCCUCCCAUCCUCCCGUGACAUGCCCUACCUCCUCCUUAUGCCAAGUGACUGAACAACGACCAGGACGGGCGGCGUGAGUGGUGCCCACAGAUGGUGGUCUGGUGGAACGAGCAGUGUGCGGCUGAGUGGCACGAGCGGCGACUGGAGGCGUCAGCGGGGGCUCUGUCUGGCGACGAGAAAUUUUUGUGGCUCCUUUCACCCUGUCAAACUUAGAUCGAUAGCCAGAUACAAAUACUUAGCACGUGUACUUAGCAUCAGGGGUAGUUUGGUCUUUUCUAAUGCCUAUAAAUGAGGAAAGAAGAAAGAAAUCAAUAAAAGGAGGCAAAUGGCAUGACAAUCAAGGAGUCAAUGUCAUGAGUGGCAAUUUUACGAAGCCAAUCUUGAAAAUGGCAAUUUUGAGAAGCCCGAUAUUGAAAGUAGCAAAUAUGUGAUUUUCUCAUCCGUUUUGGCUACAUGAUGGUAUGAUCCUUUUUUAGUGGAUUUCUUACAUGCCGUCAUGACUUGUUUCACUCAGUUUUAUGUUGAGUGAUCGAGUGUGUAGUGUACUCAUGGUAUCCUGCAGUUUAUGUAAUCCUAUAAAGAUAGGAUUCAUAGUGUUUUUGGAAGGUUGGCUGGUCUUUGGGGUCCCUAAGAAAUGUGUUUGAACGCUGAUUGAUCGGGCGAUAGCGGCGAAGGAAAAAGCAAAAGCACUGCUGUAGUUAAACACUCGAGCUGCAGAUGCAUGUGAUACAUUAUACGGGGGAGGCGACGUUUUUAUGGCUUGGUUUGGUAGGAUUCAAAUGACACUUCUUAGGAAAGACUGCUCUGAUGUAAUUAAGUUUCACCUUCUUAAGUCUGGCUACAUUAAACCAUCAAACUAUAUAUAGAAAAUAAAUGUAUUCUUAUCAUGUAUCCCCUGGAAUCCACAUAACAAGAACAGGAUAUUAAUUGGAUGCUAUGCACUGGACAUUGCGGCACGAUGAUUGGUUCCUUGAUGAAGAUACAAAGGUAUUCCGUUUCUUCAGGUAUUACACAUUUAUGUGGAUCCAGUUUGUUGUAUUUGGAUAUCUCAUCAUGUCCAUUUUUCAUUGUUGUAAUUUCUCCGUUCUAUAAUGUACUACGCAUGUCCUGUCUGUUUGUAAUGCGCUGGCCCAUAUUCUUGCCAUCUAUUCUUAAUCAUCUCCAAGCAGUUGUGUUUAGAAUGGCAUUCUUAUUUUCUGUAAGCAUUUAAUUCAUAGAGAAUUGAAAUCACCUGGUUUGCUUUAGCAUUUAAAAGAGGCAAAGAUAACAUACUGCCUAUGUGGGGAAAAGAUUGGUAUGUUGGUAUUAGCUUUAAAUGUGAUCACUGAUGCUUAUUGGCUGUAGUUGUGGUUUCAGAAGUAGCAUGCUAACAGUCAUCAUAUAUUGGCUAAUUCUGAUGAAGACCAAAAGAAUUCCAAUGAGAGGCAUCAUGCUGAUUCUGAUGUGGAAAUGGAUGAUGCCAAGCCUCCAGAGGACUCUCAAAGGUGUUCUUUUUAUUUGGUUCCUUAGUCGUGGCCUCAUGACGUCUCUUUCAUCAGUCAAACUAAAGCACUUUUUGUCAGCUUGUCUUCGCUUUUUUUCUUCUCAGCCGAUUAUGCUCCAUGGUUGAGUCGUCAUAUCCUUAAUAGAUGUACCACUGCC
RNAcentral lists this ribosomal RNA (3475 nucleotides) under Triticum aestivum (bread wheat). RNAcentral's name for it is "partial small subunit ribosomal RNA". Lineage: Eukaryota; Viridiplantae; Streptophyta; Magnoliopsida; Poales; Poaceae. The record is from RNAcentral.